This 82-nucleotide transfer RNA is filed under the name Homalodisca vitripennis (glassy-winged sharpshooter). RNAcentral describes it as "tRNA-Leu". It matches the Rfam family "tRNA". Rfam says of the family: Transfer RNA (tRNA) molecules are approximately 80 nucleotides in length. Their secondary structure includes four short double-helical elements and three loops (D, anti-codon, and T loops). The record is from RNAcentral. RNAcentral also lists the same sequence under 3 other names. Lineage: Eukaryota; Metazoa; Arthropoda; Insecta; Hemiptera; Cicadellidae.
GCCUGGAUGACGAAAAUGGUAUACGUGCUGAACUCAAAAUUCAGUGAUUAUUAUCUUGUGGGUUCAAAUCCCACUCCAGGCA